RNAcentral lists this non-coding RNA (29 nucleotides) under Mus musculus (house mouse). Lineage: Eukaryota; Metazoa; Chordata; Mammalia; Rodentia; Muridae. The record is from RNAcentral.
UGGGCUCAAAUCGGAGAUGCCUGGGGCUU